UACGAAGGGGGCUAGCGUUGUUCGGAAUUACUGGGCGUAAAGCGCACGUAGGCGGAAAUUUAAGUCAGGGGUGAAAUCCCGGGGCUCAACCCCGGAACUGCCUUUGAUACUGGGUUUCUUGAGUUCGGAAGAGGUAAGUGGAAUUGCGAGUGUAGAGGUGAAAUUCGUAGAUAUUCGCAGGAACACCAGUGGCGAAGGCGGCUUACUGGUCCGAUACUGACGCUGAGGUGCGAAAGCGUGGGGAGCGAACAGG
This 253-nucleotide ribosomal RNA is filed under the name uncultured bacterium. Its description in RNAcentral is "partial 16S ribosomal RNA". It matches the Rfam family "Bacterial small subunit ribosomal RNA", at positions 524 to 776 of the family's 1533-position model. The record is from RNAcentral.